RNAcentral lists this long non-coding RNA (961 nucleotides) under Nicotiana benthamiana. RNAcentral describes it as "long non-coding RNA (NBEN_LNC035987)". Lineage: Eukaryota; Viridiplantae; Streptophyta; Magnoliopsida; Solanales; Solanaceae. The record is from RNAcentral.
AAACCAUUUCUCUCGCAUAAGGUUAAAAUACCAAUAGAGUAAGAAAAAAAGGCAUAUUUGUUUCCUUCAGAAAGAAAAGAAAGAGAAUAAGAAGGGCAAAUUUUAAUUUCAUCCAAAGAGAAACAAUAUCCUAAAUACUAGGUAAUGGUUCUUGUUAUUACUACAAACAAUCAGGUCUUUACUUGAACAUCUCCUAAAUUUACAAACUUAAAUAGCAUAUGGCCCUGACUUGAGAGCCCUAAAUAAAUCAACCAUGAUACAGAGCUUACUGGGGAGGAUCUAUAUAUAGAACAUCAUGUUUGAAGUCCGACCAUCUCAAACAGAGUGAAGAGGAUCAGAUUCUAAUCUGUUCCUUGCAUCGGGACCAUCCUAUAUAUAGAACAUGUUUGAAGUCCGACCAUCUAACAGAGCGAAGAAGAUCAGAUCUAAUCUGUUCCUUGCAUCGGGACCAUCAUAUGCUGACCCUGCAAAAAGCAAUUUCAAGAGAUACAAUAAGCGUCACGUUGGCAAAAAAUAUUUUGGGUGGAAUUUCGACAAUCAAUGUGUCAACCAACAGUCUAACAUUGCCACCAAAUAGCCUUCAAAUAUAUGCUGCUUAAACUUCAUAUCUUACCCAACCCCUCCCAACUUUUCACCUAGUUGAGCGAAGGCAAAACUCUCUCGUGCAGAUUGGCUUCUAUUGUCAUCCUACAACAAUGCACGUCGUACAAGAGAGAAACACUUGGUAGAAUUUACACAUUAAGCAACAGGCUUAGUGCUUACUUUACCCUGGAAUCUUCAGAAAAGAAGAGGCAGGACGCUGAGAGAAAAUCAUUUUUGCCAGUCCUUAAAACUGUGAGACUUAAAUUUACUUACUCUUACUAGUUCAUCCAGCUACCAAUAACAUUGGCAGUCAGAACUUAGAAGGAGCAUGUUCACAAGCCACUUCCACUUCUCUCCUAUAACCGAGCAGGUCAUAGUA